RNAcentral lists this ribosomal RNA (301 nucleotides) under uncultured bacterium. Its description in RNAcentral is "partial 16S ribosomal RNA". It matches the Rfam family "Bacterial small subunit ribosomal RNA", at positions 510 to 808 of the family's 1533-position model. The record is from RNAcentral.
AGUCGCCGCGGUAAUACGAAGGGUGCAAGCGUUAAUCGGAAUUACUGGGCGUAAAGCGUGCGUAGGCGGUUUGUUAAGUCUGUUGUGAAAUCCCCGGGCUCAACCUGGGAAUGGCAAUGGAUACUGGCAAGCUAGAGUGUGUCAGAGGAUGGUGGAAUUCCCGGUGUAGCGGUGAAAUGCGUAGAGAUCGGGAGGAACAUCAGUGGCGAAGGCGGCCAUCUGGGACAACACUGACGCUGAGGCACGAAAGCGUGGGGAGCAAACAGGAUUAGAUACCCCUGUAGUCCCUGUCUCUUAUACA